UACAGAGGGGGCAAGCGUUGUUCGGAAUUACUGGGCGUAAAGGGCGCGUAGGUGGCCUGCUAAGUCGAACGUGAAAUCCCUGGGCUCAACCCCGGGAGGCGGGUGGAUACUGGCAAGCUUGAGUCCGGAAGAGGCGAGUGGAAUUCCUGGUGUAGCGGUGAAAUGCGCAGAUAUCAGGAGGAACACCGGUGGCGAAGGCGGGUCUCUGGGCCGAUACUGACGCUGAGGAGCGAAAGCGUGGGGAGCGAACAGG
This 253-nucleotide ribosomal RNA is filed under the name uncultured bacterium. RNAcentral describes it as "partial 16S ribosomal RNA". It matches the Rfam family "Bacterial small subunit ribosomal RNA", at positions 524 to 776 of the family's 1533-position model. The record is from RNAcentral.